This 440-nucleotide ribosomal RNA is filed under the name uncultured bacterium. RNAcentral describes it as "partial 16S ribosomal RNA". It matches the Rfam family "Bacterial small subunit ribosomal RNA", at positions 338 to 795 of the family's 1533-position model. The record is from RNAcentral.
CCUACGUGAGGCAGCAGUGGGGAAUAUUGCACAAUGGGGGAAACCCUGAUCCAGCAACGCCGCGUGAAGGAAGAAGUCUUUCGGUAUGUAAACUUCUUUCAUAAGGGAAGAAAAUAACGGUACUUACCUAUGAAGCCCCGGCUACUUACUUGCAAGCAGCCGCGGUAAUACUAAGGGGGCAGGCGUCAUCCGGAUUUACUGGGUGUAAAGGCAGCGUAGGCGGUUUAGCAAGUCAGAAGUGAAAGCCAGGGGCUCAACUCCGGGACUGCUUUUGAAACUGUUGAACUAGAUUGCAGGAGAGGUAAGUGGAAUUCCUGGUGUAGCGGUGAAAUGCGUAGAUAUUAGGAGGAACACCAGUGGCGAAGGCGGCUUACUGGACUGUAAAUGACGCUGAGGCUCGAAAGCGUGGGGAGCAAACAGGAUUAGAUACCCUGGUAGUC